This 102-nucleotide microRNA precursor is filed under the name Brassica rapa (field mustard). Its description in RNAcentral is "pre miRNA mir-286". The record is from RNAcentral. Lineage: Eukaryota; Viridiplantae; Streptophyta; Magnoliopsida; Brassicales; Brassicaceae.
UUUUCCGGUGACUAUGAUUGACACAAUAGUCACUAUGAUUGACACAAUGGUGACUAUGAUUGACUAGUGACUAUUGUGUCAAUCAUAGUCACCGGAAAAUAC